RNAcentral lists this ribosomal RNA (253 nucleotides) under uncultured bacterium. Its description in RNAcentral is "partial 16S ribosomal RNA". It matches the Rfam family "Bacterial small subunit ribosomal RNA", at positions 524 to 776 of the family's 1533-position model. The record is from RNAcentral.
UACAGAGGGUGCAAGCGUUAAUCGGAAUUACUGGGCGUAAAGCGUGCGUAGUCGGUUAUUUAAGUCGGAUGUGAAAUCCCCGGGCUCAACCUGGGAAUUGCAUUCGAUACUGGAUGGCUAGAGUUCGGCAGAGGGAAGCGGAAUUUCGGGUGUAGCGGUGAAAUGCGUAGAUAUCCGAAGGAACAUCAGUGGCGAAAGCGGCUUCCUGGACCAGAACUGACGAUCAGGCACGAAAGCGUGGGGAGCAAACAGG